This 496-nucleotide ribosomal RNA is filed under the name uncultured bacterium. RNAcentral's name for it is "partial 16S ribosomal RNA". It matches the Rfam family "Bacterial small subunit ribosomal RNA", at positions 28 to 506 of the family's 1533-position model. The record is from RNAcentral.
GAUGAACGCUGGCGGCGUGCCUAAUACAUGCAAGUCGAGCGAACGGACGAGAAGCUUGCUUCUCUGAUGUUAGCGGCGGACGGGUGUGUAACACGUGGAUAACCUCCCUAUAAGACUGGGAUAACUUCGGGAAACCGGAGCUAAUACCGGAUAAUAUUUUGAACCGCAUGGUUCAAAAGUGAAAGACGGUCUUGCUGUCACUUAUAGAUGGAUCCGCGCUGCAUUAGCUAGUUGGUACGGUAACGGCUUACCAAGGCAACGAUGCAUAGCCGAGCUGAGAGGGGGAUGGGCCACUCUGGAGCUGAGCGACGACCCAGGGACCGACGGGAGGCAGCAGUUGCUAAGGGAGCGCAAUGUGCGAAAGCCUGACGGAGCAACGCCGCGUGGGUGAAGAAGCGCUUCGGGUCGUAAAACUCUGUUAGUAGUGAAGAACAUAUGUGUAAGUAACGGUGCGCAUCUGGAGGGUACCGAAACAGAAAGCCACGGCUAACUACUU